UGCCAGCAGCCGCGGUAAUACGUAGGGUGCAAGCGUUGUCCGGAAUUAUUGGGCGUAAAGAGCUCGUAGGCGGCUUGUCGCGUCUGCUGUGAAAACCCGGAGCUCAACUCCGGGCCUGCAGUAGGUACGGGCAGGCUAGAGCGCGGCAGGGGAGAUUGGAAUUCCUGGUGUAGCGGUGGAAUGCGCAGAUAUCAGGAGGAACACCGAUGGCGAAGGCAGAUCUCUGGGCCGCUACCGACGCUGAGGAGCGAAAGCAUGGGGAGCGAACAGGAUUAGAUA
This 279-nucleotide ribosomal RNA is filed under the name uncultured bacterium. RNAcentral describes it as "partial 16S ribosomal RNA". It matches the Rfam family "Bacterial small subunit ribosomal RNA", at positions 506 to 784 of the family's 1533-position model. The record is from RNAcentral.